RNAcentral lists this ribosomal RNA (273 nucleotides) under uncultured bacterium. RNAcentral describes it as "partial 16S ribosomal RNA". It matches the Rfam family "Bacterial small subunit ribosomal RNA", at positions 523 to 796 of the family's 1533-position model. The record is from RNAcentral.
AUACGGAGGGUGCAAGCGUUAUUCGGAAUCACUGGGCGUAAAGCGCGCGCAGGCGGCUAUUUAAGUUGGAUGUGAAAGCCUACGGCUCAACCGUAGAACUGCAUCCAAAACUAUUUAGCUAGAGUGUGCGAGAGGAAGAUGGAAUUAGUUGUGUAGGGGUAAAAUCCGUAGAGAUAACUAGGAAUACCAAAAGCGAAGGCAAUCUUCUGGAACACUACUGACGCUGAGGCGCGAAAGCGUGGGGAGCAAACAAGAUUAGAAACCCUGUAGUCC